This 250-nucleotide unclassified non-coding RNA is filed under the name Glomus sp. Its description in RNAcentral is "partial contains 5.8S ribosomal RNA and internal transcribed spacer 2". The stretch from base 1 to 72 matches the Rfam family "5.8S ribosomal RNA", at positions 84 to 154 of the family's 154-position model. Lineage: Eukaryota; Fungi; Glomeromycota; Glomeromycetes; Glomerales; Glomeraceae. The record is from RNAcentral.
GUGAAUCAUCGAAUUUUUGAACGCAAAUUGCACUCUCCGGUUUUCCGGGGGCGUAUGCCUGUUUGAGGGUCAGCCUAAAAAAGAUCGAGAUUGUUGCUGUUUUAUGGUGACUCUCGUCGGAGAUGGGUUAUCUUAAAUCUCGGUUUAAGCGACUUAAAAAUUUUUUUUAUGAUUCUAAGAUUGUUUGUAAGAUUUUUCUUGUAGGUUUAGGGUAUGGAUUGUCUUAUUAGACGUGGUCGUAAUAUCUGAU